This 499-nucleotide ribosomal RNA is filed under the name uncultured bacterium. Its description in RNAcentral is "partial 16S ribosomal RNA". It matches the Rfam family "Bacterial small subunit ribosomal RNA", at positions 28 to 523 of the family's 1533-position model. The record is from RNAcentral.
GAUGAACGCUAGCGGCAGGCCUAAUACAUGCAAGACGAACGGCAAGAUUUUUAGCAAUAAGAAUCCUAGAGUGUCGUAAGCGUGGGUAACACGUAUGCAAUCUGCCCUCAACAGGAGGAUAGCUCCCCGAAAGGGGAAUUAACACUCCAUAAGAUUGCGGUACGGCAUCGCAGAGCAACUAAAACUACGGUGGUUGAGGAUGAGCAUGCGCAUGAUGAGUUAGUUAGCGGGGUAACGGCCCACCAAGACGAUGAUCAUUAGGGGAACUGAGAGGUUGAUCCCCCACACUGGCACUGAGAUACGGGCCAGACUCCUACGGGAGGCAGCAGUAGGGAAUAUUGGACAAUGGGUGCGAGCCUGAUCCAGCCAUGCCGCGUGCAGGAAGACGGCCUUCUGGGUCGUAAACUGCUCUUGCCAGGGGAUAAAACGGCUCUGCGGAGCUAAUUGAAGGUACCUGGUGAAUAAGCCACGGCUAACUACGUGCCAGCCGCCGCGGUAA